GCGAAAGCUACGCUAAUACCGCAUACGAUCUAUGGAUGAAANCGGGGGAUCGCAAGACCUCGCGCGAUUGGAGCGGCCGAUAUCAGAUUAGGUAGUUGGUGAGGUAAAGGCUCACCAAGCCGACGAUCUGUAGCUGGUCUGAGAGGACGACCAGCCACACUGGGACUGAGACACGGCCCAGACUCCUACGGGAGGCAGCAGUGGGGAAUUUUGGACAAUGGGCGCAAGCCUGAUCCAGCAAUGCCGCGUGCAGGAUGAAGGCCUUCGGGUUGUAAACUGCUUUGUACGGAACGAAACGGUGAGCUCUAAUACAGUUUGCUAAUGACGGUACCGUAAGAAUAAGCACCGGCUAACUACGUG
RNAcentral lists this ribosomal RNA (360 nucleotides) under uncultured bacterium. Its description in RNAcentral is "bacterial SSU rRNA". It matches the Rfam family "Bacterial small subunit ribosomal RNA", at positions 151 to 507 of the family's 1533-position model. The record is from RNAcentral.